This 89-nucleotide ribosomal RNA is filed under the name Notamacropus eugenii (tammar wallaby). Lineage: Eukaryota; Metazoa; Chordata; Mammalia; Diprotodontia; Macropodidae. The record is from RNAcentral.
AUCUACCACCAUACCACCCUGAACACCCACUGUCAUCUCAUCUUGGAAGCUAAGCAAGGUCUGGCCUGGUUAGUGGGGGGUGGUAGGGA